AGAGAUACCAAAGGGAAUGGGAUUUACUGAAGAAAUUGCCGUCAGUUUGAAUGAACCACACAGUAUGAGAGCUGGAUGUGCAGUCUUGAAGGAAUCCUACGCUUCAUGAAUGAGGAUUUGACAUCUGGCAGAGGUCUUUAUGAACACAUUUAUGAUCAUCCUUCAAAGCAACCACAUGAAAUGGGCCAGGGGCUUGUUCUCUUUUAGCAGACAGACGGGUUGAGUCACCACAAGAUGCUGUUAUGGUUUAAAUGUGUGGAGCUAUAUAUAUACAUACACACAUACACAUGUAUAUAUCAAUCAAGCUAUACUUAUCCCCAAUAACAGAGAGGAAAAAUAUAUUAUUAGAAUAAGAGCCGCAUAUUUUGGAAAACUUACCAUGUGCC
RNAcentral lists this long non-coding RNA (386 nucleotides) under Homo sapiens (human). RNAcentral describes it as "non-protein coding lnc-HS1BP3-1:10". The record is from RNAcentral. Lineage: Eukaryota; Metazoa; Chordata; Mammalia; Primates; Hominidae.